CGCGUAGGUGGCCAAUUAAGUCAAAUGUGAAAUCCCCGAGCUUAACUUGGGAAUUGCAUUCGAUACUGGUUGGCUAGAGUAUGGGAGAGGAUGGUAGAAUUCCAGGUGUAGCGGUGAAAUGCGUAGAGAUCUGGAGGAAUACCGAUGGCGAAGGCAGCCAUCUGGCCUAAUACUGACACUGAGGUGCGAAAGCAUGGGGAGCAAACA
Molecule: ribosomal RNA, 207 nt
Filed under: uncultured Acinetobacter sp.
Lineage: Bacteria; Pseudomonadati; Pseudomonadota; Gammaproteobacteria; Moraxellales; Moraxellaceae
Description: partial 16S ribosomal RNA
Rfam family: Bacterial small subunit ribosomal RNA
Source: RNAcentral